RNAcentral lists this ribosomal RNA (433 nucleotides) under uncultured bacterium. RNAcentral's name for it is "partial 16S ribosomal RNA". It matches the Rfam family "Bacterial small subunit ribosomal RNA", at positions 29 to 507 of the family's 1533-position model. The record is from RNAcentral.
AACGAACGCUGGCGGCAGGCCUAACACAUGCAAGUCGAGCGAGGACUUCGGUUCUAGCGGCGGACGGGUGAGUAACGCGUGGGAAUGUGCCCUUCUCUACGGAAUAGCCCUGGGAAACUGGGAGUAAUACCGUAUACGCCCUAUUGGGGAAAGAUUUAUCGGAGAAGGAUCAGCCCGCGUUGGAUUAGGUAGUUGGUGGGGUAAUGGCCUACCAAGCCGACGAUCCAUAGCUGGUUUGAGAGGAUGAUCAGCCACACUGGGACUGAGACACGGCCCAGACUCCUACGGGAGGCAGCAGUGGGGAACCUUAGACAAUGGGGGCAACCCUGAUCGAGCCAUGCCGCGUGAAUGAUGAAAGCCUUAGGGUUGAAAAGCUCUUUCAGCUGGGAAGAUAAUGACGGUACCAGCAGAAGAAGCCCCGGCUAACUCCGUG